This 2022-nucleotide ribosomal RNA is filed under the name Triticum aestivum (bread wheat). Its description in RNAcentral is "partial small subunit ribosomal RNA". The record is from RNAcentral. Lineage: Eukaryota; Viridiplantae; Streptophyta; Magnoliopsida; Poales; Poaceae.
AUGGCUACUUACUACUCGAGCCCUGGCAGCGAAAGAGAGUCGCAAGACAUGUACUCGAGAGACCCGGGCGGUGCAUCCUAUCCGAUGUCGUCUGCUCUGGGCAACUUGCUCUAUCUGAACAAUCCAUCUUCUGGGCCAUACACUGAGUUCAGCGGCAUUCUGCAGACUCAGCAGAACUUCAUGGAGAUGCCUGCCCAUGGCCAUCAUUCUGCAAUGUCCCAGGACUCAUCGGCAAGGGAGUCGCAGGACAUGCUUGCUUCCCACCAUGGGCAACGCUCCUUCGGUCAUGUGAAAGAUAUGAAGAAUGAGAUGUUGAUGCAUAUGAUGGAUGGAGCACAGAGUGGUGGUGCUGAACUCAUCCAUGAUGAUCCCCACAAUGGUGCACAGUUCGAGUUUGGUGUCCUGAACAACCAUGACUCGUCGGAUGUUCCGGUUGGGCAAGGGCAAGGGCAAGGGCAAGGGCUGUCUCUGAGCCUCAACACACAAAUCCUCGCGCCGUCCUUGCCAUACUGGUCCAUCAAACCAGACAUGUUGACGCCAAACUCUUACCAGGAAAGCCUUAGAAUAGACGACAUCCGGAUGAAGAACAUGCAGUCUGAGGCCUCUCGUGCGAUCCGGCACUCGAGGUAUCUCAAGGCAGCUCAAGAAGUGCUAGAUGAAGUUGUGAAUGUUUGGAAGAACAUCAAGCAGAAAGCUCAGAAAGAGCAAGCUGAACCAGGUAAAGCAGAUGGCAAAGAGACCGAUGGAGGGCCAAAAAGCGAGGGCGCGUCGCAAGAAUCCGGCGCAAAUGCAGCACCUGAGCUGUCCACUGCUGAGAAGCAAGAGCUUCAGAACAAGAUGGCCAAACUGAUGGCAAUGUUGGAUGAGGUGGACCGGAAAUACAAGCACUAUUACCACCAAAUGCAAAAUGUGGUUGCAUCUUUCGACAUGGUGGCUGGGCCCGGAUCUGCCAAGCCUUACACCGCAGUUGCUCUGCAGACAAUCUCGCGACACUUCCGGUGCUUGAAGGACGCUAUCAAUGAUCAGAUCAAUGCUAUCAGGAAGAAGCUCGGCGAGGAAGAAAAUCCGUCUAGCAAGGAAGGCAAAUUGACCCGUCUUCGGUACAUUGAUCAGCAGCUAAGGCAGCAGCGUGCUUUCCAACAGUACGGUAUGAUUCCUCAGAAUGCCUGGAGACCGCAGAGGGGAUUGCCUGAAAACUCGGUUACAGUUCUUCGCGCUUGGCUCUUUGAACACUUCCUUCACCCGUAUCCAAAAGAUUCUGAAAAGUUAAUGCUUGCAAGGCAGACUGGCUUGACAAGGAGUCAGAUUUCGAAUUGGUUCAUAAACGCUCGUGUCCGCCUUUGGAAACCAAUGAUUGAAGACAUGUACAAAGAAGAGACCGGUGAUCUGGAGCAAGACUCCAACUCUUCCUCCGACAAUGUGCCGAGAAGCAAGAGCAAAGUGGCAUCUUCAGAAGAGAAUGAAGAUCUGAAGAACGCCAGGGCUCGGGUUUGCGAGACCAGCCAGCUAAGCGAGUCGAGAGCCAGCAUGGGAACUAUGAAUGUUGGCGGGGCACCUGUUAGCUUCCAGAACGAGCCCAACCCCGACGACAGUUUCAUGAACCUGAUGAUGAAGGACCAGCGAUCCGGUGAGGCGGACGGAGGCCUCCUCCUCCACAACGCCGUCGCGCAGCACUCGGACGAGAGCGCGCGGUUCAUGGCCUACCACUUGGCAGAGCUUGGGAGGUACGGAAACGGCAACGUAUCGCUCACGCUCGGCCUACAGCACUCUGGCAGCGGCCUCUCGGUUCCGAAUGCCCAAGCAAACUUCGCCGGCGUCGGUGACGACGACAUCUACAAUGCCGGUGCUCCUCUCGGUGUCAGCAUUGCAUCUUCGGACUAUGAAUCUUUGAACCAGAUGGAUCAGCGGCAACGCUUCGAGCAAUCGCCUCUUUUGCAUGAUUUUGUGGCCUNNNNNNNNNNNNNNNNNNNNNNNNNNNNNNNNNNNNNNNNNNNNNNNNNNNNNNNNNNNNGGAGGGGGUGA